This 537-nucleotide ribosomal RNA is filed under the name Cryptosporidium xiaoi. RNAcentral's name for it is "SSU rRNA". It matches the Rfam family "Eukaryotic small subunit ribosomal RNA", at positions 455 to 1029 of the family's 1831-position model. The record is from RNAcentral. Lineage: Eukaryota; Apicomplexa; Conoidasida; Eucoccidiorida; Cryptosporidiidae.
UACAGGGAGGGUAGUGACAAGAAAUAACAAUACAGAACCUUACGGUUUUGUAAUUGGAAUGAGUUAAGUAUAAACCCCUUAACAAGUAUCAAUUGGAGGGCAAGUCUGGUGCCAGCAGCCGCGGUAAUUCCAGCUCCAAUAGCGUAUAUUAAAGUUGUUGCAGUUAAAAAGCUCGUAGUUAAUUUUCUGUUAAUUUUUAUAUAUAAUAUCUCGAUAUUUAUAUAAUAUUAACAUAAUUCAUAUUACUUUUUAGUAUAUGAAACUUUACUUUGAGAAAAUUAGAGUGCUUAAAGCAGGCUAUUGCCUUGAAUACUCCAGCAUGGAAUAAUAUUAAGGAUUUUUAUUCUUCUUAUUGGUUCUAGAAUAAAAAUGAUGAUUAAUAGGAACAGUUGGGGGCAUUUGUAUUUAACAGUCAGAGGUGAAAUUCUUAGAUUUGUUAAAGACAAACUACUGCGAAAGCAUUUGCCAAGGAUGUUUUCAUUAAUCAAGAACGAAAGUUAGGGGAUCGAAGACGAUCAGAUACCGUCGUAGUCUUAA